This 253-nucleotide ribosomal RNA is filed under the name uncultured bacterium. Its description in RNAcentral is "partial 16S ribosomal RNA". It matches the Rfam family "Bacterial small subunit ribosomal RNA", at positions 524 to 776 of the family's 1533-position model. The record is from RNAcentral.
CACGUAGGGCGCAAGCGUUGUCCGGAAUUAUUGGGCGUAAAGAGCUCGUAGGCGGUCUGUUGCGUCCGCUGUGAAAACCCGGGGCUCAACCCCGGGCCUGCAUUCGAUACGGGCAGACUAGAGUUCGGUAGGGGAGUCUGGAAUUCCUGGUGUAGCGGUGAAAUGCGCAGAUAUCAGGAGGAACACCGGUGGCGAAGGCGGGACUCUGGGCCGAUACUGACGCUGAGGAGCGAAAGCGUGGGGAGCAAACAGG